ACCCUGGUAGUCCACGCCCUAAACGAUGCGAACUGGAUGUUGGGUGCAAUUUGGCACGCAGUAUCGAAGCUAACGCGUUAAGUUCGCCGCCUGGGGAGUACGGUCGCAAGACUGAAACUCAAAGGAAUUGACGGGGGCCCGCACAAGCGGUGGAGUAUGUGGUUUAAUUCGAUGCAACGCGAAGAACCUUACCUGGCCUUGACAUGUCGAGAACUUUCCAGAGAUGGAUUGGUGCCUUCGGGAACUCGAACACAGGUGCUGCAUGGCUGUCGUCAGCUCGUGUCGUGAGAUGUUGGGUUAAGUCCCGCAACGAGCGCAACCCUUGUCCUUAGUUGCCAGCACGUAAUGGUGGGAACUCUAAGGAGACCGCCGGUGACAAACCGGAGGA
This 388-nucleotide ribosomal RNA is filed under the name Stenotrophomonas maltophilia. RNAcentral's name for it is "bacterial SSU rRNA". It matches the Rfam family "Bacterial small subunit ribosomal RNA", at positions 784 to 1170 of the family's 1533-position model. Lineage: Bacteria; Pseudomonadati; Pseudomonadota; Gammaproteobacteria; Lysobacterales; Lysobacteraceae. The record is from RNAcentral.